Long non-coding RNA from Esox lucius (northern pike), 489 nucleotides. NCBI's taxonomy places the organism in Eukaryota, Metazoa, Chordata, Actinopteri, Esociformes, Esocidae. The record is from Ensembl.
CAGAGCCAGAGGGACAAUUCACCACUCAUUCCAGCCCUGCAGAAGAAAUUGGACAAGCAUCUAACUCCCAGACCUCCCAGUGCUGCCAGUCAGUUCUCAUCCAGGGCCCUGUCUGAGGGUCCCGGAAUUGGAGCGGAUCGGGAGCCUGUGGUGGCUGCUAGGAGGAUUCAGGAGAAAAAGGAACUGCAUAUAGUAAAUGUGGAUAAAGUGGAGACUUACCUUGAGACAUCUGAGUCGGAGCCCCAACAGGGACUCCUGGUUGCUGCUGCCCCGGGUUUCCCGAUGACGCUUCCUCCGGUUCCAUCUUCUCCUCUUGGAUCACAUCAGGAGAAGAGAAAGCUCCAGUAAGCACCACAACCUGGAAGAAGGAAAAACUAAGGAACAGCAAUAUGGUAGAACUUACCGUAUGAGGGGAAUCCUUACUGGCCUUUGGAACUGUUGGACUCCAAGUUUAUCCGAAAGGAAGUCCCAGUGAGAACAUAAACCUGG